This 85-nucleotide transfer RNA is filed under the name Thermoplasmatota archaeon. RNAcentral describes it as "tRNA-Leu". It matches the Rfam family "tRNA". From Rfam's summary of the family: Transfer RNA (tRNA) molecules are approximately 80 nucleotides in length. Their secondary structure includes four short double-helical elements and three loops (D, anti-codon, and T loops). Lineage: Archaea; Methanobacteriati; Thermoplasmatota. The record is from RNAcentral.
GCGGGAGUAGCCGAGCUAGGCCAAAGGCGCUAGACUCAAGAUCUAGUCCUAUAGGGGUCCGAGGGUUCGAAUCCCUCCUCCCGCA